UCAAAAACAUGUCCUUUUUGCGAUUGAUAUAAGGUCUAACCUGCCCAAUGAUUAAUUUCAAUGGCCGCGGUAUUUUAACUGUGCUAAGGUAGCAUAAUCAUUUGUCUUUUAAUUGAAGGCUAGAAUGAAUGGUUGGACGAGGUAUAUACUUUCUUUAAUUUAGUUAUUGAAUUUAAUUUUUUAGUUAAAAAGCUGAAAUGUUUUUGAGGGACGAGAAGACCCUAUAGAUCUUUAUAUAUAAAUUUAUUAUAUAUUUUGGUGAGUUAAUUAUUCUUAAUAAUUUUAUGUAUUUGGUUGGGGCGAUUGUAGAAUUUUUAUAACUUCUAUUUUUAUUUAUCAAAAAUUAAUGUUUAGUUGAUCCAAUAUUAUUGAUUAUAAUAUUAAGUUACCUUAGGGAUAACAGCGUAAUUUCUUUGGAGAGUUCUUAUCGAUAAAGAAGUUUGCGACCUCGAUGUUGGAUUAAAAUAAGUAGUAGGUGCAGGAACUUAGCUAACUAGGUCUGUUCGACCUUUAAUUUUUUACAUGAUCUGAGUUCA
Molecule: ribosomal RNA, 536 nt
Filed under: Sphedanolestes sp. 00004611
Lineage: Eukaryota; Metazoa; Arthropoda; Insecta; Hemiptera; Reduviidae
Description: partial 16S ribosomal RNA
Rfam family: Bacterial large subunit ribosomal RNA
Source: RNAcentral